RNAcentral lists this ribosomal RNA (258 nucleotides) under uncultured bacterium. RNAcentral describes it as "partial 16S ribosomal RNA". It matches the Rfam family "Bacterial small subunit ribosomal RNA", at positions 96 to 354 of the family's 1533-position model. The record is from RNAcentral.
UGGCGGACGGGUGAGUAACGCGUGGGCGAACCUGCCCUGUACCGGGGAGUAACAGCCGGAACGGCUGCUAAUACCGCAUAAGCGCACGAGAGCGCAUGCUUUUGUGUGAAAAACUCCGGUGGUACGGGAUGGGCCCGCGUCUGAUUAGCUUGUUGGCGGGGUAGAAGCCCACCAAGGCGACGAUCAGUAGCCGACCUGAGAGGGUGACCGGCCACAUUGGGACUGAGACACGGCCCAAACUCCUACGGGAGGCAGCAG